Long non-coding RNA from Dermochelys coriacea (leatherback sea turtle), 3110 nucleotides. RefSeq lists it as uncharacterized. The transcript is spliced from 3 exons. The record is from RefSeq and is a predicted model, not a curated record. Lineage: Eukaryota; Metazoa; Chordata; Testudines; Dermochelyidae.
GUGACCCCUUCCCCUGUGGUUGGGAGCAAUGGGGUCAGGAAGUGGGAUGUGUGUGUGCAGAGCUUUCUGAAGUUGGGGAGGUUCCUGGAGGUGGGUCUGACCUGACCCCAGGAGCAGAGGAAGUCAUGUCACCGUCUCUCCUCUCCUCUUCUUCCCCUCCCACCCAACCUCCUGAGGUGGUGAUUUACAUCUCCCCCGGCUGCUCUUAAUGCCCAAACCAGACGUGCCCCCUUCUCCCCCCGACUGCUGCUUGGAAGGUGCAUGUGAAUCAAUUUAUCUGCGGGGGACAUUAAUUCUGCGCUUCUGCAGUGAUGAAGAAUUCCCGCAGGAGUAAUAGGUCACCUUCUCUUAUUGUAGAAAGCUCACUUGUUCCUGAGGAGUGAAGUGGUUGAGAAUAGUCUUCAUCUUAGAACUUUAGAGCAACCUCUUAGAUAUACUGGGCCCAGGCCAUCAAAUUCCUUGAGGAUAAGGACAGAGACCUUGAACUUGAUCUGAUAUUCUAUGAGAAGCCAGUGUAGAGAGCAGAGGACAGGUGUGAUGUAUUAAUGGGAGCCACAGUUUCUGAGGAGAUUGCCACAGCAUUCUUUAUCAGUUGGAGUUCUUGAAGUGUGGAAUACUGCAUGCCCAGCUAUAUUGUAUUGCUGUAGUCCAGCUGAGAAGUAGCAGGUGUUGUUAAUGGAGACUAGAUGGUCAUGAUGGUCCCUUCUGGCCUUAAAGUCUGAGGCCAGUUUGCCUAGUGGCUGCAUGCAGAUGUUCAAUAGGAAUGGGGAGAGAUCCUUGUGUUUUCUGCCAUUGACUCUUGAGUUUUCAUCCAUCUUUUCAUAUGGUCCAGGAUGUCAGAAAACUAAGAAGAGGGGUGUGUGUGUGUGUGUAGAGAGGAAAGGCUGUUUGGAGGCCAGCAUACAAUGGUAGCCAAGUCUAGCAUAUAACUUGUCAGAUCCUUGACUCCUUGUCCUGUUGGUGGAGAACAGCUGUCCCUUGGCAUGUUUUGGAAUUUGGAGUCCGUGAGUUCUUGUGGUUGAAAUAAGAUCAUGGGACUGUCUUGUUGCCUUGGAGCUGGAAGAGCUCUGACCAUUGACCCUAGGCUUUCUGGCUUAUCAUAAAUUUAUGGCAACCAAAAUUUGGUUUGUAAACAGCUGUCAUAUCAGUCUUAGGGGCUCAGUAAAACAGGAAGAUGAGUAUGUGGAGGAUGAGCCAGAAACAAUUCUUUCAUCUUUGUCCCCACCAGAAAAGCAGCUAGUGCUUCCCCUUCUAGUGAUAUGAAGGCCUUUCUGAGGCCUUAGACUUAGAACUCACUGAUUCAGUAAAAAAAAAAAAGCCCAUAGAUUUCUUAUAUUCUGCAGAACAAGCAAUUGGGAAUGUGACACCUUUAUAUGUGGCUCAUUACCCCCAGUGUCUUUCCUCUUCCCUCACUCUCCCCUCCCUUUUAGAACCAAGCACACCAAAUUCGGUCCUUGAGAAAAGCUUGAAUAUUUUCCCUUUUAUGAUUUUUUGGCUCUGAUAGUGACUAGAGCCUCUUGGGAUGUAAGCUUAGAUUUUGGCCACUUCGCAGGUGAGACUUGGCAGUUAUUGAGCAGCGAUGACAAGAUGACUGCCUUCAGUGAGACAUGUUGCUUUAUAAAUAAGGACAUCCACCACUUUUUGGUUAGAGAAGCAGAAUUCUUCCUUACUUCAUGUGAGACUGAACUUUUUUCCAGAUGGAGGUUCUCUGCCUUUAGGGGCAGGUCGUCAGUUGGAUCAAGCUCCGUGCAGCAAAGUUGAGUCAAGAUAUGAAAGGCACAGUCAUUGAAUAUGUCUCCAACCUUGUCCAGGAGAAGGACUCUACCAAUACUCCUUUCUAACCUUUGGUGUCUUCACCACGAGGUUUUUAUGAAACAGCUGUCUGUGGCAACGGGCUUUCUUGGAUGUUUGAAUAUUUGUAUCCGACUGUAGCUAGCACACGCUGCAAGAUGUACCUCAGGCCAGCCAGGUCUACACUCAAAAGUUAAGUCGACCCAGCUACGUUGUUCAGGGGUGUGAAAAAUCCACACACUUGAAUGACAGUUAAGCCAACCUAACCCUCGGAGUAGAUAGUGCUAGGUUGCUGGAAGAAUUCUUCCAUUGCCUAGUUACCUCCUCUUGGGGAGGUGUGGGAAAGUGUUUACAAUGAAGUACUACAAUGGCAUAGAUCCAGUGCUGCAGCUGUGCCACAGUAGCAUUUCAAGUGUAGACAAGCCCUCAGAAAAGUGUGUAAAGCAUCCUGAGUCCUUAGGGUUUGCCUGAACAAGUUCACUCAUUCUACCAUAAAAGGCUGAAUUCACUGAAGCCUUAAGAGGCUCCAUAGCUGAAAAGCUUGUUUAAGAGGAUUUUUCAUACCAUUAGGGAGACAGUGUCCUUUGAGAGGUUCCCAUCAUAAACCUGUAGCUUUUUUUUCUACAGGUGGUAAACCUUGUGUUCAUGUGACACUAUUUGCCAGGCUACAUCUUGGGAGUCUGCAUGGUGUACUGCCUUAACCACUUGGAUACCUGGGCCACAGUACCUCAGAAUAUUAAAGAUUCUCUUCUGUUCGGGAUGAAAGAGGAACAUUGCUAUUGGGGUUUCCAUCUUAUCUACCUCACUGGCUUUUUUGCAGUAUUAGUCAUGUCUCAGGGUGGUUGGAGGUACUCAAACUCGCCUUGGGGUGUCCGAUAUGGCUUGUUCUUCCAAGAUUUGGGGAUUCCUGGGGACAGUUCUUAAAGGAAAAUAACUCUUAAAUACCAUAGUUACUGACCUUUUUAGACUACCCAAAUGGAUCCCUGCUCAUGUUCCCCACUUCAGAGCAUCCAGUUAAAGAUUCCUGAAUCGCUUGAAAGAAAGUAGUUGAAGCCACUUCUUUGAAGUUGGUUGUCCGAACAGACAUUGGUUUCUAGGAGAGCUGAGCAUGUGUACCAUGAUUGCACUCACCCAAAGAAUUUGGACUUCUAUAGUCAAUCGUCCUAAAAAACCACACUGAGGUCUUGUCUAUGCUACAGAGUUUUGUCAACACAAGUUACGCUGACAACCAAAAACCAGUAUAAUUACAUCGCUUGUGCAUGUUCAUACAAUGCUCCUUCUGUCGGCAGAGCCCGUGCACAGUUGGUGUUCUAGCAUUG